GGUGUAGGCGGUCGGGCAAGUCGGAUGUGAAAUCCCUCGGCUCAACUGAGGAAGUGCAUUCGAAACUGCUCGACUUGAGUAUGGGAGAGGAAGGUGGAAUUCUCGGUGUAGCGGUGACAUGCGUAGAUAUCGAGAGGAACACCGGUGGCGAAGGCGGCCUUCUGGCCCAAUACUGACGCUGAGACCCGAAAGCGUGGGGAGCAAACA
RNAcentral lists this ribosomal RNA (207 nucleotides) under uncultured bacterium. RNAcentral describes it as "partial 16S ribosomal RNA". It matches the Rfam family "Bacterial small subunit ribosomal RNA", at positions 568 to 774 of the family's 1533-position model. The record is from RNAcentral.